UACGGAGGGUGCAAGCGUUAAUCGGAAUUACUGGGCGUAAAGCGUGCGCAGGCGGUUUGUUAAGUCUGCUGUGAAAUCCCCGAGCUCAACCUGGGAAUUGCAGUGGAUACUGGCAGGCUGGAGUACGGUAGAGGAAGGUGGAAUUCCCGGUGUAGCAGUGAAAUUCGUAGAUAUUGGGAAGAACACCAGUGGCGAAGGCGGCUCACUGGCUCGUAUCUGACGCUCAGGCGCGAUAGCGUGGGGAUCAAACAGG
This 253-nucleotide ribosomal RNA is filed under the name uncultured bacterium. Its description in RNAcentral is "partial 16S ribosomal RNA". It matches the Rfam family "Bacterial small subunit ribosomal RNA", at positions 524 to 776 of the family's 1533-position model. The record is from RNAcentral.